This 582-nucleotide long non-coding RNA is filed under the name Salvia miltiorrhiza (redroot sage). RNAcentral describes it as "long non-coding RNA (SMIL_LNC008793)". Lineage: Eukaryota; Viridiplantae; Streptophyta; Magnoliopsida; Lamiales; Lamiaceae. The record is from RNAcentral.
UUGUGAAAUCUCAUUUUCUUAUUAACUUGUCAAGACAAAAGAAUGACAUAUAAUACAAAAUCGUGUUUUUACAUGUACAUGUCAAAACAAAUUAAUCUUCAAAACAUAGCAUUUCCACGCAGCCAUCAGUUUCCUAACUGCCUCACCCAUCACCUUCCUCACCACCAAAAGCGUCCGCCACCAUCUCCGUGUUGCUCCGGCUCCCUUCGUCCUCCGCCCCACCACCACCGAAACGACGAGCGUUGCCCCCUUCAUGACCUUGGCGGAGCCGGGCACCUCCAGCUGAACUAAAUACCACAUCUUCAUCCUCAACGCCGACACUCGACUCCUACUCUCCGCCAUUUCGCAGCAGCUUCACCAGCUUGGCGAAGACUCUCUUUUUGCUCCGGUGACUUGCUUUGUUGUCGCUGAAGUUGUCGUUCGGGAAUGACAGGGCUCACCGGAGUCUGUGAGAUACGAGGCCUGGGAUAUGGACCAGUCAUCCCGAUAGAAAUCACCAAUGUCGUUCAGAAGUAACUUAUGUUUGUGGGAUAUAUAGGUUAGAAUUAGUUGAAUCCCAGUUAGUUAUUUCUUUGUGUUUUG